Molecule: long non-coding RNA, 489 nt
Filed under: Olea europaea subsp. europaea
Lineage: Eukaryota; Viridiplantae; Streptophyta; Magnoliopsida; Lamiales; Oleaceae
Source: RNAcentral
CGGCCUUGUUUAGUGUGAGAAUAUGGUUCUCUUAACUCCAUUAGAUUUAAGUGCUAUUUGUGUCAUUCACAUAGAUUGUGCUUGUCUAGUUUUAUUGUGGACCAUUGGAUGGGAUCGACGGCUGGGAUUUAUUCUAUGUGAAAUAUUUUUUUGUUGCUUUAGCUUGUGUGAGAAGCUUUGACUAUUUUCCACCAAAUAGCGCUUUCUCACGUUUUUGGCAAAACAAGUCUUUCUCUCCAAAAAAUCGGCCCUCUCUCUCCUCCUCAAGACUUCUCUCUCCAUUUGCACCUUACUGUGAUGUUUCUCAAAGCUUGGUAGAAGAGAGGGGUGAGGUGGUGGCGGUUUCAAAGGAGGUUCUUUGUCGAUUUUCUAGCUCUCUCUUUGGAAGGUGAUUUUCAUGACAUGGGAGUUGUUCCUCAGCCUGAAAAUCAGCCAUAAACAAGAGAAGUUGCUGUCCAGAUUUUCGGCCAUUAAUGGGUUGUAUUUUCG